AUUGAACGCUGGCGGCAGGCCUAACACAUGCAAGUCGAGCGGAGUGAUGGUGCUUGCACUAUCACUUAGCGGCGGACGGGUGAGUAAUGCUUAGGAAUCUGCCUAUUAGUGGGGGACAACAUCUCGAAAGGGAUGCUAAUACCGCAUACGUCCUACGGGAGAAAGCAGGGGAUCACUUGUGACCUUGCGCUAAUAGAUGAGCCUAAGUCGGAUUAGCUAGUUGGUGGGGUAAAGGCCUACCAAGGCGACGAUCUGUAGCGGGUCUGAGAGGAUGAUCCGCCACACUGGGACUGAGACACGGCCCAGACCCCUACGGGAGGCAGCAGUGGGGAAUAUUGGACAAUGGGGGGAACCCUGAUCCAGCCAUGCCGCGUGUGUGAAGAAGGCCUUAUGGUUGUAAAGCACUUUGAGCGAGGAGGAGGCUCUUUUGGUUAAUACCCAAGAUGAGUGGACGUUACUCGCAGAAUAAGCACCGGCUAACUCUGUGCCAGCCGCCGCCGUAA
This 503-nucleotide ribosomal RNA is filed under the name uncultured bacterium. RNAcentral's name for it is "partial 16S ribosomal RNA". It matches the Rfam family "Bacterial small subunit ribosomal RNA", at positions 30 to 523 of the family's 1533-position model. The record is from RNAcentral.